AUUGAACGCUGGCGGCAUGCCUUACACAUGCAAGUCGAACGGUAACAGGUCUUCGGAUGCUGACGAGUGGCGAACGGGUGAGUAAUACAUCGGAACGUGCCCGAUCGUGGGGGAUAACGAGGCGAAAGCUUUGCUAAUACCGCAUACGAUCUACGGAUGAAAGCGGGGGAUCUUCGGACCUCGCGCGGACGGAGCGGCCGAUGGCAGAUUAGGUAGUUGGUGGGAUAAAAGCUUACCAAGCCGACGAUCUGUAGCUGGUCUGAGAGGAUGAUCAGCCACACUGGGACUGAGACACGGCCCAGACUCCUACGGGAGGCAGCAGUGGGGAAUUUUGGACAAUGGGCGAAAGCCCGAUCCAGCCAUGCCGCGUGCAGGAUGAAGGCCUUUGGGUUGUAAACUGCUUUUGUACGGAACGAAAAGCCUCUUUCUAAUAAAGAGGGGUCAUGACGGUACCGUAAGAAUAAGCACCGGCUAACUACGUG
This 482-nucleotide ribosomal RNA is filed under the name uncultured bacterium. RNAcentral describes it as "partial 16S ribosomal RNA". It matches the Rfam family "Bacterial small subunit ribosomal RNA", at positions 30 to 507 of the family's 1533-position model. The record is from RNAcentral.